GCUCAACCGAGGAAGUGCUUCGAAACUGGUAAACUUGAGUGCAGAAGAGGACAGUGGAACUCCAUGUGUAGCGGUGGAAUGCGUAGAUAUAUGGAAGAACACCAGUGGCGAAGGCGGCUUUCUGGUCUGUAACUGACGCUGAGAUUCGAAAGCAUGGGUAGCAAACAGGAUUAGAUACCCUGGUAGUCCAUGCCGUAAACGAUGAGUGCUAAGUGUUGGAGGGUUUCCGCCCUUCAGUGCUGCAGCUAACGCAUUAAGCAUUCCGCCUGGGGAGUACGACCGCAAGGUUGAAACUCAAAGGAAUUGACGGGGGCCCGCACAAGCGGUGGAGCAUGUGGUUUAAUUCGAAGCAACGCGAAGAACCUUACCAGGUCUUGACAUACCAUGAAAAGCUUAGAGAUAAGUCUUUCCCUUCGGGGACAUGGAUACAGGUGGUGCAUGGUUGUCGUCAGCUCGUGUCGUGAGAUGUUGGGUUAAGUCCCGCCACGAGCGCAACCCUUAUUAUCAGUUGCCAGCAUUCAGUUGGGCACUCUGGUGAGACUGCCGGUGACAAACCGGAGGAAGGUGGGGAUGACGUCAAAUCAUCAUGCCCCUUAUGACCUGGGCUACACACGUGCUACAAUGGUCGGUACAACG
Molecule: ribosomal RNA, 636 nt
Filed under: uncultured bacterium
Lineage: Bacteria
Description: bacterial SSU rRNA
Rfam family: Bacterial small subunit ribosomal RNA
Source: RNAcentral